RNAcentral lists this transfer RNA (76 nucleotides) under Rhizobacter gummiphilus. RNAcentral's name for it is "tRNA-Trp". It matches the Rfam family "tRNA". Rfam says of the family: Transfer RNA (tRNA) molecules are approximately 80 nucleotides in length. Their secondary structure includes four short double-helical elements and three loops (D, anti-codon, and T loops). The record is from RNAcentral. RNAcentral also lists the same sequence under 1 other name. Lineage: Bacteria; Pseudomonadati; Pseudomonadota; Betaproteobacteria; Burkholderiales; Sphaerotilaceae.
AGGGGUAUAGCUCAAUUGGCAGAGCGCCGGUCUCCAAAACCGGAGGUUGGGGGUUCGAUUCCCUCUGCCCCUGCCA